RNAcentral lists this unclassified non-coding RNA (432 nucleotides) under soil metagenome. Its description in RNAcentral is "partial contains 5.8S ribosomal RNA, internal transcribed spacer 2, and large subunit ribosomal RNA". The stretch from base 1 to 119 matches the Rfam family "5.8S ribosomal RNA", at positions 36 to 154 of the family's 154-position model. The record is from RNAcentral.
AUGAAGAACGUAGCGAAAUGCGAUACGUAAUGUGAAUUGCAGAAUUCAGUGAAUCAUCGAAUCUUUGAACGCAUAUUGCGCUCUCUGGUAUUCCGGAGAGCAUGCUUGUUUGAGUAUCAGUAAACACCUCAACUCCCCUUUCUUUUUUUGAAAUGGGAGCUGGACUUGAGUGAUCCCAACGCUUUUCUCACCGAAAAGUGGCGGGUUACUUGAAAUGCAGGUGCAGCUGGACUUUUCUCUGAGCUAAAAGCAUAUCUAUUUAGUCUGCCUAAAAAACAGAUUAUUACCUUUGCUGCAGCUAACAUAAAGGAGAUUAGUUCUUGUGCUGACUGAUGCAGGAUUCACAGAGACAGCUUCGGCUGGCCUUUGUAAACUCGAUCUCAAAUCAAGUAAGACUACCCGCUGAACUUAAGCAUAUCAAUAAGCGGAGGA